RNAcentral lists this ribosomal RNA (465 nucleotides) under uncultured Klebsiella sp. RNAcentral's name for it is "bacterial SSU rRNA". It matches the Rfam family "Bacterial small subunit ribosomal RNA", at positions 338 to 795 of the family's 1533-position model. Lineage: Bacteria; Pseudomonadati; Pseudomonadota; Gammaproteobacteria; Enterobacterales; Enterobacteriaceae. The record is from RNAcentral.
CCUACGGGGGGCUGCAGUGGGGAAUAUUGCACAAUGGGCGCAAGCCUGAUGCAGCCAUGCCGCGUGUGUGAAGAAGGCCUUCGGGUUGUAAAGCACUUUCAGCGGGGAGGAAGGCGGUGAGGUUAAUAACCUCAUCGAUUGACGUUACCCGCAGAAGAAGCACCGGCUAACUCCGUGCCAGCAGCCGCGGUAAUACGGAGGGUGCAAGCGUUAAUCGGAAUUACUGGGCGUAAAGCGCACGCAGGCGGUCUGUCAAGUCCGAUGUGAAAUCCCCGGGCUCAACCUGGGAACUGCAUUCGAAACUGGCAGGCUAGAGUCUUGUAGAGGGGGGUAGAAUUCCAGGUGUAGCGGUGAAAUGCGUAGAGAUCUGGAGGAAUACCGGUGGCGAAGGCGGCCCCCUGGACAAAGACUGACGCUCAGGUGCGAAAGCGUGGGGAGCAAACAGGAUUAGAUACCCCAGUAGUC